CCGAGUUUUUAACUCCCGAACCCACUGUGAACCUUACCAACACGUUGCCUCGGCGGGACCGCCCCGGGCCCCCGGGCCCGGAACCAGGCGCCCGCCGGGGACCCCGAACUCUUAUGUUUCCCCCAGCGGCAUUGACUCUGAGUGGCCUUAACGGCGAAGCAAAUGAAUCA
Molecule: unclassified non-coding RNA, 170 nt
Filed under: uncultured Hypocreales
Lineage: Eukaryota; Fungi; Ascomycota; Sordariomycetes; Hypocreales
Description: sequence contains ITS1
Source: RNAcentral